AGCUUUUUAGGCAAAAUGAACUAUGGAAAGCACGUCCUUCACCAUAAGUUGCUUUUGUCUGUUUUUCAACAUUAGCCUUUGGCCUGAAGGUCAACAGCUACAGCCCUGCUUUAGGACACUGCUCAACUUAUGUCCAUGCUGAAGUUGGCUCAGUAUGCUCCAUGUACUUUUUUAUUCUUCAUGGACCAGCAGCUACCUGAGACUUGUUCUCAACACAGUGAAUCACUGGAGUGAAUAAAGAUAAGUAGAAAUAUUUGAUAUCUUCUGUGGCUUUUGCCUGGAACUAGCACCUUCUCACUUCUCCCACAUUCCAUUGACCAAGUAUGUCACAAUCCCAACAUUAGUGAAACAGAGAAAUAUACCAUGCCUUUAGUGGGAGAACUAUAAAGUCAUAUGGCUAAAGGUAUGAAUGUAUAAAUAUAUUUAUGGAAAGUCAUGAAGAAUUGACAGCCAUGAUCCAAUAUCACACCAAAGAAAAAAGAAUUCUGCGGUGAUAUUUGAAAUAUCUGAUAUUCUUCUUUUCCACUACUUUUGUAGCAAUGGAAUAACUAUGACUUUGUUGCGCAUACAAUACUUGUUGAGAUUUGGUAACACAAUGAAGUCUUCACAGGACAUUGUCUUGGGACUUUCCCAUAUCUAGGGUAAUGAAAGAGACAUUGGCUCAUAUCUGUAAUCCCAGCACUUUGGAGACUGAGGCAGUUGAAUUGCUUGGGCCCAAGAGUUCUAGAGCAGCCUGGGCAAAUGAUGAAACCCCGUUUCUACAAAAAAAUACAAAAAUUAGCCGAGUUUGGUGGCACGUGCCUGUAGUUCCAACUACUGGGGAGGCUGAGGUGGGAGUAUCACUUGAGCCCUGGAGACAGAGGUUGCGGUGAGCCAAGAUCACACCAUUGCAUUCCAGCCUGAGUGACAGAGUAAGG
This 917-nucleotide long non-coding RNA is filed under the name Homo sapiens (human). RNAcentral describes it as "HSALNT0109933". Lineage: Eukaryota; Metazoa; Chordata; Mammalia; Primates; Hominidae. The record is from RNAcentral.